Molecule: long non-coding RNA, 1003 nt
Filed under: Homo sapiens (human)
Lineage: Eukaryota; Metazoa; Chordata; Mammalia; Primates; Hominidae
Description: non-protein coding lnc-SNRNP200-2:1
Source: RNAcentral
CCUCGGGCCUCCGCGGGCGGCGUCAGAGUGAGUUUUGGGUUGAGGACCCCGUCUGAUUGGGCUUCUUGGGGUCGGUGGACCCCCUGAAAUAGUAUGAAAACCCCCUCCUUCGAGGACUAGGUGCAGGACUGGGCUUGGGAACCCAGCGUCGAGCAGGGUGAGCAAGGCCCGUCUUUCGUGGAAUUUACUUUCUUUUUUUUUUUUUUUUGGGACGAAGUCUAGCUCUUGUCCCCCAGACUGGAGUGCAGUGGCGCGAUCUUGGCUCACUGCAACCUCCGCCUCCUGGGUUAAAGCGAUUCUCCUGCCUCAGCCUCCCGAGUAGCUGGGAUUACAGGCGCCUGCCACCACGCCUGGCCAAUUUUUGUGUUUUUAGUAGAGACGGGGUUUCACCAUGUUGGCCAGGCUGGUCUCGAACUCCUGACCUCAGGUGAUCCGCCCACCUCGGCCUCCCGAAGUGCUGGGAUUACAGGCGUGAGCCACCGCGCUCAGCCCGUGGAAUUUACUUUAUAAUGGGGAGGCAGAUGAUCGAGAAAACGAGGUUUAUUUCCCUUAGAGAUCUGUGCUGUGUGGGCAGCAAAACGCUGAAAACCUCCGGGAAGAGGGACGGAGGGGAGCGGGAGCCUACGUGGGAAUGAGGAGCGGUCCAGGACUAUGAAGGGUGCCAAAAGAGUGAAUGAUUUGGCCGGGCGCGGUGGCUCAAGCCUGUAAUCCCAGCACUUCGGGAGGCCGAGGUGGGCAGAUCACAAGGUCAGGAGAUCGAGACCAUCCUGGCUAACACAGUGAAACCCUGUCUCUACUAAAAAUACAAAAAAAAAAAAAAAAUUUGCCUGGCAUGGUGGCGGGUGCUUGUAGUCCCAGCUACUCGGGAGGCUGAGGCAGGAGAAUGGCAUGAACCUGGGAGGCGGAGCUUGCAGUGAGCCGAGAUUGUGCUACUGCACUCCAGCCUGGGCAACAGAGCAAGACUCCAUCUCAAAAAAAUAAUAAUAAUAAAUAAAUAAAGAAG